UUUAGGGGUUAGGUUUAGCUUGUAGACGUAUCUUCUCUUUGUGUUGCCACCGCUCUCUUUUAUUGUCAUAAUCUGCCUCUUAUUUCUUUAAAAAUAUUUCUUUAAAAAGCAUGUGUCUUCAUCUUCUCCUUGCUAUCAUCCUCUUCACCAUCUUCACUAGAGGCUUUUAUGGUUGAUGGUGAUAAAAGUGUUGAUAUUAUUUCUUAUGGUGCAAUAUUUAGUCCAUACAAGACUAAUAUUCAACGUGAAUUUAGUGAAUAGGAUCAGAAGUUUGAGACUCAAAGGAAGAGAUCCAAAAGACUCCCCGAAUGUAAAUGGAAUGAUGUUAUUAAUUUAGACGAUUCUGAGGACAAUGACAAAGAAGAGGAAUUAGAAGAUACUUCCGAUUCAAGCACAAACCUGAAAACCCGAUUAAAAAUACCUCAAGUGUCAAUUCAGAAGCGGAACAUAUUUCAUGCAGUCUAAUAUGAAAUCUAUCAAGUGUUUUUAUGAUUUUUUGCAUUUUCAGUUGUUAUGUUUGAU
Helianthus annuus (common sunflower) is the source of this 522-nucleotide long non-coding RNA. RefSeq lists it as uncharacterized. The record is from RefSeq and is a predicted model, not a curated record. Lineage: Eukaryota; Viridiplantae; Streptophyta; Magnoliopsida; Asterales; Asteraceae. The transcript has 3 exons.